AAAAAAAACUUUAUUAACCUAAAACUACAAAGGAAAACACUAAGGAAAACACACAAAACACAUAGAACACAAGAUGAAAACUUUCUAAAUUUCUUCCUCCUCCCCCCACCUAGAUUUCCAAUUCUAUUACUACCAAAUCUACCUUUUAGAUAAUCAGUUCUCAAUUCUUCGAGAAGAGAGAAGUCCCUCUUGCACCACAGACUUCCCUAGGAAACAGUCGAAACUUCUCGUGUUUUCAUGUCACAUGUGGCACCGCCCGGAGAACAUUUUGCCAUCGUGACUUCUUCCUUCCAUGUCCAGUGCUCUCACCACUGCACAUGGAUCAGAGCUGCUUCUAGGGUUUUUCCCUUUAAGGAUACUUUGUCUAGUUCUAAAAAGAGCACAGUCUCUCUCUUUUUGGGACACCUGUCCCCCCGAAAUUUCACCCCCUGGGGCCGAGGGGUCUCUUGAACAGAGAUCAUCUUCCUCUUCUUCUUCUUCGAAGAUGGAGGGCACCACCACCACUCUCCUCACCCGUGGUCUCUGUUCACACACCUCUACAUCAUUGCACUCUCUUGGCUCUGAGCCAUCACCUCCCCCUAGAAUGCAGUCUCUGUGUCACAGGAACACAAGGGGUUCUGCUGUGGCUAUACAAGAAAAGUUUAGCUAAAGGCCACUCCAUCAUCUCUUCUCACCUAGGAUUCUUCUCAACAUCUUCUCAAUCUCAUCAACUUCAGGAGGAAUCAGCAUUUGCAAGGUUUCCAUCUUCCCCAGAAGGGUUAAAAGUCCCAGGCUCUCUGCCGGUUUGCUUCAUGAACUCCCACGCCUGGCUGCCCUGCUGGGCACCCCCCCCUUCUCCUUCACGCCGGCCGUGCUAUCACAGGCAUGAGCUCUGGCUCUCUCUCCCUCUCUCCAGGGGGGGGAAUGGGGGAUGGCUGCCCGAAGCCCUUGCAAUGUUCUCCUCCACCCUUGGGCCUAGGCCUGGCCUACCUCCCUCCGGCCGCAUGGCUCCCCUCCCCCCCCCGCCCAGCUCAGGCCGGGCAGGGAGGGUUGAGGGUCUGCUCAGUCCCAAGCCGAACUCAAAGAGGAAGUUCCCCUGGGAGAUCACAGCUUUUAACCCCUGUGUUCUCAGAGGCUUAUCCAUGCCCUCAGUGGACAAACCAGGUGCCAAUAUUAAAUCUGAACACCGAUUGGCUUGCCCACACCAUCACAAAAAACUUCAUUUCCUUUCAAACCACGACAGCAACACAACUCUCUUCAGGAGGCUGAUAUAAGUUUCAUUAGAAAUCAAUUCUUAUUUUUACACCGUUCCAAUACCAGUGGACCUGAUUGGUCAUUUAAUCAACACCCUGUCACCAUUGGCUAAUUAAGAAGACAUUCUUUGGUAAACAUCUGUCGUAGUUUGACAUGAGAGGAGUUCACGGAAGUAAGACAAAUGGUUUUUGUGUGACUAGUAGUCUGUUAAACCUCUAAGAAACUGAACACUCCUCUGUGAAAGACACAUGUUAAAGACGAAAGAAACCCAAGAACUUUCUCUUUCUUUUCCCAUCGACAAAGAAGUAACAGGCCCCGACCCCAGCCCUGACCCCUGUCUCGGCCAGGCCGGACUGGGCGGCCCUGCAGUGGGCCAGGGUCUUUUGCCCGGGCCGCCCACCAACCCCCCCAUGAGCCCCCAUCCUACUGUGGGCUGGGUCCCCAGCAGCUACCAGGCCAGAAAACAAAGGAGGCUUCGGAGCCCUGGAGCCCAGGCCGGAGCAGGGCUGGCCGCAGCUGUUAAUAUAUUACCAUCAAAUACCCUCCCCCCAGCACGGCUGAGACCAAAAACCCCUACAACCAUGCAGAGUAGCCCUGUGGCUAGAAUUGAAUGCAAAGAAAACUAAAAACCAACCAUGAGGCUGAUCCUGACACAACCCAACUGCAACUCCCACCACAAGUUAUCAGUAGAUCAGGUAACUAUUUAAAAGGCCCAAACAACAUGUUAACCCUUUCAGUAUUUCAAUCAUCCCCCAAGUAAGAAAAAGAACAAGAUACAAAGAUAUAAAAGAACAACAUAAAAACAUCAUAAUUAGUAAAGAAGAAGUUAAAUCCCAGAUAAGAAAAAUGAAAAGAAUACCUUCAUUUUGAAACUGAAAUCCUCUUAUAAACUAUGAAGAAAAGACUCUUUUUCCCUAUAACACAUGAAACUAUGGGGAGAUUAAAUUGUUCAAAUUAAUAGCAAACAAAAACCUCCAUACUAAAAUAAACAGAUGUUAAUAUAGCUGUAAUCCCAUGAAAAGUAUAAACAGAAAAAAGAGAAGAGUAAUCCAGUACCCCCAAUAGAAGAUCUCUAUUCCCAGGGAUAAAGAUGAUUUUAAAAAUAAAUAAUGAGAACUUUUACUUUUAAACAACUCAUCCUUAAAACAAUACCCCAUAAGUAAACAUAACCCAUCAACAAGCUAUAAGAAGACAUAACAAUAGGAAGGACUUCACUACAACAGAGUUCCCUGGGCGGCUGUUAUUCAUAACAAAAUUAGGAACCACAAAAUAACUAUUUUUUUCCUCUUGUAAGGAAGUGUCCAUAACCUUAACAAGAGGGACUUGUCUCCCUAAGUGAAUUGAAAAAAAGACUAUUUUAAAGAUAAUAAACUAACUAGAAUUUUAGACUUUGUUUCUUUACAUUAUCAGUGAGAAAAAAAUGUUGUGGGGAGAGAAGUGUUCUGAAGGGUUUGUUUUAAUUCUUACUACUUUUUUUUUCCUUUUAGUUGCUUUUAAUAUAAUUUUUUUUAUAUCCUUUUAAAAUUUUGAGCUUGCUUUGCCUUUCUCCUAAUCCUAUCUCACAGUAGGAAAUGAAUACAUUAGUAAUUAACCAACACCAAAACCUACCACACUCUUUAAUACACUGGCCAAGAAAUCUUAAGAUUAAAAAAAAAUUAAAUUGAUGAAUCAAAACCACUACACAAAACUGGUGUUUCUGCCCGGUUUCAAACUGAAACCUCCACAUCUUUUAGUGAAUAAUGCAGACAAUUAAUAAACAUUGUGAGAUAGGGAAUUUAUUAGGAGAAAUAAAUGGCAAAGCACGUAUUAGGUCACAAGGUUAAGUAGAAUGAUAGUGAAAAAGUUUUACUGUAAAUAUGCUGAAAGACUAAGGGUAGAAGUUAGUGUAAAAUUUUUCCCCCUUCGGUUUAAUUUAGUAAGUUUUAGUUUCUUUUAGUUACUUCUAAUAAAAUUUUCUUAAUACCCUUUUAAAAUUUUGAGCCUGCUUUGCCUUUCUCCUAAUCCUAUCUCACAACAAGAAAUGAAUACAUUAGUAUUUAACCAACACCAAAACCUACCACACUCUUCAAUUCAUUCACCAAGAAAUCUUAAAAUUAAAAAAAUCUUAAAUUAACAAAUCCAAACCACUACAACAUCUUAUGAGAAAAAAACUGUUCAAAACACCAGCUGCAAGAUUGUUUUAAUUCUUUCUCUCAACCUUCUCAAAACUCCCCAGAACAAUUCCGGGGAAAGUUUAUCCAGCUUUCUCUCUCUGUGACCAGACUGUUGCAUCCACAGGUCCCCCUUUUUGUUUAAAAGAGGAAGGAGGCAUUUGUCAUCCCCUUCAGGGCCCUUUGCAGGAAGGAGAACAAACACAGUGGAAGAGGUUCCUUUAGCAAUUUGCCGGUUGCCAAUCAGAACCUCAAUCAUAUGCUGACUUAGAAUGGGCAGAGAGAUUUCCAACAUAUACCAUCAAAUUCUUUACAAUCAAACCUUGUUGUUCCUUCUUUUAAAAAAUCAAAUAUGAAUUAUAAAAUAUCAGUUACUAAUUCUAAUAGAGUAACAAAACAUCGUUAGUCUGCUCAAAGAACUGGCAGUCUAACUUGUAAACAACCCUUUUCCAGAAACAAAGAAAAAGAGAAUGCUCAUUCCCCACUUGUAGAGGAACCAUCGGAUUGAUGGUCGGCAUCUUGAUCAUCAUUCAAAGGUUGCCUGUUGGCCGCAUUCUGUUUUUGGUGUCGCUAAUCAGGGCAAACACACCUUGCAGGUAUCCACUGUACCCCAGUAUCUGUGGAAAUGCAUGCAUACCUGUGACCCCAAGCGAUAAGCUUGCACGGGCCCUCCCACUUAUUAGUGAUUAGGUCCCGUAUCCAGACUUUAGCUCCAGGCAGGUGCAUCUCACCUGAAGAUUGCAAUGAGAGAGAAUAAUUUAGAAGAGUUUUGUGGCUCUGUAAGAUGAUUGAUUGUAUGUAGAGUUUUUUUUCCAAUCGACUAAGAAUUGCAUUUUUUUUUUUUUUAAGCCAGCAGCAGGACGGUGGCGCGGGUGUCACCGUGGUGUCCCUGCCAAGGCCAGAUUUAUCUGGUUUGUCCUUUUCCCUCGCCUUUUCACGCCAAGAAAAGGAAGGGAGAAAUGCAGGAGGGGCUGGAGGGAAAUUGGCCCAAACCUGCAGCGCUGCCUCCUCUUCCUUCACUCCCUCCAUGGCCACUGCUCCGUGUUGGGAAAUGGAAAGGAAGGGUUUUACAGGGAAUACGGAAGUUUGCCCUGAAUUUGGGGUCCCUGGGACAGCCCGCACCCACCACAGGACGAGCGAUUCACUCCCACUCUUCCCAUCACUGACUUCCCCCUACACGGCCGAACUCCCAGCCAUUUCCCCGACGUGCAGCCCAUUCCACACUCCUCCCGGGCACUGAAGAGGUGCAGCCCCCCUGCACUCCGCUCCUCUCACCCCGGAAAUGAGAGCAGGACAGGCUGUUGGUGUUUGUCGCUGUCACUGUCCUCAUCCUGGAACAGGGGCGGGUGGGUCAGGCUGCGGGCAGUACAAGAUGGCGGGUUGUCCGGAGGCUCCGAAGCCGAGGAACCGUCCCCAAGCUGCGGAGCAGAGAGGCUGGUUGUAAGCCGCAGGGUGGAGAAGCCAGCUGCUGGCGGCGCAGGGGCAGGGGGCGCAGCCACGACCUGGGUGCGGAUAAGGCAGCCGCUGUCGGCGGAGUGAGAGGUGCAGCCACGAGCCACGGCGCAGCCCGUCCAUGGCGUGCGGCGCGGGCUGUGGUGGUAAAACUGCAAAAGACAUCAAGUCAGCCGAUCCACAUGCUGCAUGGCGGGGGGAGGAGGAGGCAGUUGCCCCGUUUGUGCUGAUGAAAGCGGAGGGGCGGAGGUGACCGCGGCUCCAGUUGCGGCAUUUGCCGACAGCGAAACUGGUGCGAUUGCCUCCGCCGGUGCUUCUUGCUCCUGCGCUGCAAAGGUGGGGGGGUGGAGGCGAUGGCAGGAGCUGCGCGCGGUGGCGCCGGUAUCGCUGAGACAGAAGGCACGACCCCCGGAGCUCUGCUUGCGGCAGGGUAAGGAGGUGUAGCAAACCCUUGCACCGACUCUGCUGGGUGAAAUGGGAACGGUGGGGCUGAGGAGAUCAUGGCUCCUGGUGCUCCAUCCGCCUGGAUUGUGACCGCCCCCACCAGUGGCGGCGGUGGAAAGGAAGGAGCUGUCGGUGGGGGGAAGAGUGCUGGCUGUGGUGGAGGCACACUGGCCACUACCUGCUGUGCUGGGGGAGCCGCAGGCAGCGCGAAUGGAGGGGAACACUUCACCAGGUCCAAUUGGAACACAGCUACCGAAGUUGGCAGUGGCGACUCUGCAGGAGAAGGAUAUUUUUGCGGAACAUAAUGUCUAGGUGAGAGAUAGAUUCCGCGGGGGACCCCCAUGUCUUCUGCAGGUCAGCGCGGAGCCGAGGAAGAGACAGCAGCCGCCUGGCCCACCUCUCUGGCCCCUGGGGUGUCAGUGCCCACAGAGACAGCAUCUUCACUUUCUGAGGUCCCCAUUUCUGCCUUGCUUUCCCUUGGGGUACGGCCUCAUAUAUCUCUGGAAAGGACUCCUCAAGGGAGCUACUAAACGUGGUGCAGUCAUAUGUCCCUUGAUGACCUCAUCCCUCAGACAACCACCUAGUGCAUCCCAAGUCUGUAGAUUAAAUGUGGUUGUCACAUCUACUGGGAAGUGUGAAAAACAACUGCUCACUUUGAAAAUUUAAAAAGGUUUAUUAAACCUGGACAAAAAUACAACAAAAGGACUACAUAAGGAAAAAUUCGCAGUGCUGGGAACUGCCUUCGUGGAUACCACGUGGCCGGUUCAUCUUCAAGAUGGAUGCUCAGUCUUUUAUACCCCUGGGGGGUUGCACCAGCCAGCCCUGGCCCCUCCCAAAGUCUGUCAGUCAGCUCUUCUUUGCCAUUUAUCGGUGGAGACUGCUUUCUUGUAACUUGAUUGGAGAUCGGGUGUUACCAUGCCGCACCUCCUAAGCAACAAGCUUUUCCAUUCCCAGCUGCUACAGGUUGCUUGUGCUGCCAUCUUGGCUGGGCAGCCCAUGCCCAUGACGCAGCUCUAUGCAGCUCCCGAGACCACCCUCCCACCACCAGGGCUAACCACGCCCCUCGUCACUGUGGAAAUGCCUGGACUGCCUCUGCCCCAAGCUGGUUGGCUCAGCCCACAAACCACACUCACAGUCCCGCCUCUUCUGGCCAGGCCUUCCUGCCGCUGCAACACGGGGGUGGGGCCCCAGAUGAUGUCACUACAAAUGCCGGGAUGUUGUUACUAUGUCACUUCCGGAAAUGCACUGGAACCAAGAAGUCUCAGCGCUACGAUGCUGAGUCCCGCUCCCGGCUCCGGCCCCACACCUGCUGCUGCCACAGCUUCAACACAUCUGCAGCCAAAGCUCCAACAGCCCCAAGGAACCACGUCACUGAUGGACACGCAAGACCCCCACAGAGGGAACCCAAAUCUCCGUCCUACUACCAGCCUCGGAGAAGAAGCCCUUGCAACCCCACCAGCUCCAGCUCCAUCACCACUCCUAUUAGACACCAUCCCAGCACAUAUUAACACUACGAGCCAUAAUGAAAGCUGCAAACAUGAGUACUCCAACCCACAGGUACUCAAGCUUAAAACAAAACCCCAAAAAUUAUAUGCACAAAAACUUUGAGAUAUAUAUAUAUAUAUAUGCACAAGAGCUUUAAACCUGUAUUGCAAUGUUUAUUAUUUUUUUUAAUUUGCAUCCUACAAAAAAUAUUAGUCAAAAGGUACGACAAUGGUCCCUUGAAAAGGAAAUGCUAGACACCCUCAACUGGAUUAAACCCUAUCCAAAAUUAACCAACUUACAAUUAACACCCUUAUUUGACCUCCUAAAAGGUGAUCCUAAGUUAACUUCCCCCAGAAAUUUAACCCCAAAAGCAAAAAUGCUCUCAAAACAAUAGAGCAAGCUACCAUCAAAACAGACAUUAGUCCUGCUUACAUUUCACAGAAACCAAAACAUUUCCUACAGCUCUGGGGUGUGUCACACCACACUGGUAUUCCCAAAUUAGCAACAGGACAAGCCAUUGUGGAAAGAACAAAUGGCACUUUAAAACGUGAACUUGAAAAACAAAAGAGACAAAUGUGUGGUGAGAUCCCACAGAGGAGGGUAGCUAAAGCUAUCUAUACACUAAAUCAUUUGGGACAAUUAGAAAAGUCCCAAAACCCAGUCAUUUUAAAUCACUUUCUAUCACUAUAAUCAUCCGGCGAUGAUCAGUCACCCAAACGCAAUCUUAUCCAUGGUUGUCACUGCAUAACUUGUCAUCUGUUUGCCAUCUUGCAUAAAGCUGCUCUUGUCUGAGUGCAGCUCCCAAUCUGGAUCUUGUGGUGACACAUCCUUCAGGUCUGCUCUGCUGGAAUAGGCCUCUUCCAUGGUCUAUAAACCCUAAACCAGAACACAGUCAUACUCAGAUAUAUUAUCAGUUAGUGUCGGGAACAGAGACAUACCAGGAUUGACAGCAAAUGUUUUUAGAAUAACAUUACCCUGUUUCAGUAACAUGGCAUAGGGUACAUGUAGUUGGUGUUCAUAGGACAAACUUACAGUGAGUUGGAUGCAACUGUUGGAUGCAGCAAUUCUUAUCUGCUGCCUUCUCCAGUUCUCCAGUUCCUUUGCCAGCUGAUUUCUGAAUACAGUUGGCCUAUUCCUUAAACCCUCAGGCAGGACUGUCUUGGUGAGCUGGCUCUUUCUUCCUGUUUCAGGAUUCUUCAACUUAACAGCAGAGUCCUUGGCCUUUCCUAUUCACAGGGAUGCAGGAGAAGGUAUCUUAAAAAUUUAAUUCGGUAAACCAUCCUAAACUAUCUGUUAUUCUCUUCCUUUUGCAAAAUUCCAGCAGAUCCUUCUUAGGAGAAUUUGUCAAAUAGAGAAACUGAUGAAGCACCCAGUAUCUUCCUAAUUCAUAUUUCAAAGGUUGAAAGAAAGGUCUCAUCAUUCUUACCCCUCUGGCACUUACAGUUCUUACAGUACCUUGAUUAGGUUUCCUUUCUAAGGUGUUCAUUAAAACAAGACUCUGUCUGCUGACCCGUGCGGUGUGAACCUGGCAGCGCAAAGAGCGCUCGCUGCCUGCCACUUGGCCCAGGGACGGAGGCACAGCAGGGAUACACCCAGUGCGACUGGUGCCGCGUGCUUCACUUUGCCCGUACCCGCCCCUUGCCACUGCUUCCCUGUUUCUCCAAAACAAAACUCGUUACUAUGGAAACCGUGGUCGAGCCAUCCAUCACAGACACUGUGCUCCUGCUUACAAAGGGUGUUAUCAGUUUCUCCAAGGCGUUCAACCCCGCGUCCGCCCCCACCCACCACGGUAGCAGAAGCGGCGCCGCCCAGGGGGGUGAUGCUCCCUCCCGCAUGUCUCACACGCCCAGACCCCUUUGGGACCCGGGACCAUUUCCCCGCCCCAUUUCUCGGCCAUUGUCAGGGCAAUGGACAGGGCCACUUCAGCGGCAGCUCUCUGAGCGUCUGUUCCCCCCUUUCGUCAUGCGGGGCUUGGCCUUCCCACUCGCGGCACCAUCUCAUGAUUUCAGUCAGAUCUUUGGGAGCUUCUCUUGCCCCGAGAUCCUGGAAAAAACGGCACAAAAUCCCUUCCUUGCUCACAGCAGAAGCUGGGCCCCUGCCCGAACUGGCCCGCUUCAACCCGCCAAGGUCCAGGACCUCCCUUUCCACAGAUGGAAUACUGGAAGUGGGGCCCCCUCCCCCUUUCCCACAGUGUCGGUAGCCGGGCCUCCCCUGGCCACUCCGAGAAAUCUGUCCCGUUUAUGCCCAGGCGUCCCUAGGCGAACACAACAUUCAAAAUCCACGCCUGCUAAACACAAAAAAAAAAAACCUCUGGAAGGUCAUUUGCUUUUCUCCACCAAUAAACAACCUCAGCUAGUGGCAAACACACACACACAUCCUCCCCCCAGCCUAGCUGUGGCGGGUUGGAAAAGUGGCAAAAGAAAAAAACCUUUGAGAAGCCACUCCAAAAGCAAGUCCCGCUCCACACCACGCUGGGCUAGAAUCCUGGAACUGCUAGCAGUUACUGACCUUACAAAGAUGCACAACACACACAUGAAACAAGGGAUUUAAGGGUUAAUAGGGAAUUUAGGAUAGUUUAGGCAAUAUAUCUGUGAACAUAUGGUAUUCAUUAUUCUACUCGUAUGGGACUGAGAUAGGGGACCCUCCAAAGGAUAUCUGUUACCUAUUAAAAUUCUGCUGAGCUCGCAAAUAAGAGGGGCCCCUGAUAAAAACUGCUGAGCUUGCCAGAAAAUUAGAAGCAAAGAGAGACUGCACAUGCGAAAACACUUGAGUUCGAAAGUUCAACAGCUAUGAAGACUUUGAGCCUUCCUCUUUUCAGGCCCCCAGACUCAUUUAAAGACCACUGACUCAAUAAAAAGGAUAAACUGUGCAGUCACAACUAAUUUCCAUACCAUGCAGAGAACGGGCGGGGAUAGAUACUGAAUAUGUAUAGGCGUUAUAGAAUAUGCAUUAUUUUUGUGAAUAAAUAGAGGAUUUGUGAAUGUUGGGGCAC
RNA transcript from Serinus canaria (Common canary), 9756 nucleotides. RefSeq lists it as uncharacterized. The transcript is spliced from 2 exons. Lineage: Eukaryota; Metazoa; Chordata; Aves; Passeriformes; Fringillidae. The record is from RefSeq and is a predicted model, not a curated record.